This is a non-coding RNA of Schistosoma haematobium, 78 nucleotides long. The record is from Rfam. NCBI's taxonomy places the organism in Eukaryota, Metazoa, Platyhelminthes, Trematoda, Strigeidida, Schistosomatidae.
AGUUUUCUGAAUCUGUGCCCAGAUUUCGUCAGAUACCAGACCAUCAGUACUGAUGAGACUCUCAAGACAAGUGAUGCG